RNAcentral lists this ribosomal RNA (373 nucleotides) under uncultured bacterium. RNAcentral's name for it is "bacterial SSU rRNA". It matches the Rfam family "Bacterial small subunit ribosomal RNA", at positions 28 to 404 of the family's 1533-position model. The record is from RNAcentral.
GACGAACGCUGGCGGCGUGCUUAACACAUGCAAGUCGAGCGGUAAGGCCCUCCGGGGUACACGAGCGGCGAACGGGUGAGUAACACGUGGGUGACCUGCCUCUAGCUCUGGGAUAAGCCUGGGAAACUGGGUCUAUUACCGGAUAUGACUCCAUGACGCAUGUUGUGGGGUGGAAAGCCUUGUGCGGCUGAGGAUGGGCCCGCGGCCUAUCAGCUUGUUGGUGGGGNGAUGGCCUACCAAGGCGACGACGGGUAGCCGGCCUGAGAGGGCGACCGGCCACACUGGGACUGAGACACGGCCCAGACUCCUACGGGAGGCAGCAGUGGGGAAUCUUGCGCAAUGGGCGAAAGCCUGACGCAGCGACGCCGCGUGA